UACGGAGGGGGCAAGCGUUAUUCGGAAUUAUUGGGCGUAAAGGGCGCGUAGGCGGCCAACUAAGUCAGACGUGAAAUCCCUCGGCUUAACCGGGGAACUGCGUCUGAUACUGGAUGGCUUGAAUCCGGGAGAGGGAUGCGGAAUUCCAGGUGUAGCGGUGAAAUGCGUAGAUAUCUGGAGGAACACCGGUGGCGAAGGCGGCAUCCUGGACCGGCAUUGACGCUGAGGAGCGAAAGCCAGGGGAGCAAACGGG
RNAcentral lists this ribosomal RNA (253 nucleotides) under uncultured bacterium. RNAcentral's name for it is "partial 16S ribosomal RNA". It matches the Rfam family "Bacterial small subunit ribosomal RNA", at positions 524 to 776 of the family's 1533-position model. The record is from RNAcentral.